Molecule: ribosomal RNA, 583 nt
Filed under: uncultured bacterium
Lineage: Bacteria
Description: bacterial SSU rRNA
Rfam family: Bacterial small subunit ribosomal RNA
Source: RNAcentral
CGACCGGCGCACGGGUGAGUAACGCGUAUGCAACCUACCUUUUACAGGGGAAUAGCCCAGAGAAAUUUGGAUUAAUACCCCAUGGUUCCAUUUANUCACAUGGUUUAAUGGAUAAAGUUUCGGCGGUAGAAGAUGGGCAUGCGUGACAUUAGCUAGUCGGUAAGGUAACGGCUUACCAAGGCGACGAUGUCUAGGGGUUCUGAGAGGAUUAUCCCCCACACUGGUACUGAGACACGGACCAGACUCCUACGGGAGGCAGCAGUGAGGAAUAUUGGUCAAUGGGCGAGAGCCUGAACCAGCCAUCCCGCGUGCAGGAUGACGGCCCUAUGGGUUGUAAACUGCUUUUAUAUACCAAGAAACCUAUCUACGUGUAGAUAGCUGACGGUAGUAUAUGAAUAAGCAUCGGCUAACUCCGUGCCAGCAGCCGCGGUAAUACGGAGGAUGCAAGCGUUAUCCGGAUUCAUUGGGUUUAGAGGGUGCGUAGGCGGUCUUUUAAGUCAGUGGUGAAAUCCUGCAGCUUAACUGUAGAACUGCCAUUGAAACUGAAGGACUUGAGUACACUGGAGGUAAGCGGAAUGUGUAG